RNAcentral lists this transfer RNA (68 nucleotides) under Mycomya sp. WQY006. RNAcentral describes it as "tRNA-Met". The record is from RNAcentral. Lineage: Eukaryota; Metazoa; Arthropoda; Insecta; Diptera; Mycetophilidae.
AAAAAAAUAAGCUAAAUAAAGCUAUUAGGUUCAUACCCUAAAUAUAAAGGAAAUACCUUUUUUUUUUA